Molecule: ribosomal RNA, 253 nt
Filed under: uncultured bacterium
Lineage: Bacteria
Description: partial 16S ribosomal RNA
Rfam family: Bacterial small subunit ribosomal RNA
Source: RNAcentral
UACAGAGGUCUCAAGCGUUGUUCGGAUUCAUUGGGCGUAAAGGGUGCGUAGGCGGCGCGGUAAGUCGGGUGUGAAAUCUCGGAGCUUAACUCCGAAACUGCAUUCGAUACUGCCGUGCUUGAGGACUGGAGAGGAGACUGGAAUUUACGGUGUAGCGGUGAAAUGCGUAGAUAUCGUAAGGAAGACCAGUGGCGAAGGCGGGUCUCUGGACAGUUCCUGACGCUGAGGCACGAAGGCCGGGGGAGCAAACGGG